Molecule: RNA transcript, 3153 nt
Organism: Brassica napus (rape)
Lineage: Eukaryota; Viridiplantae; Streptophyta; Magnoliopsida; Brassicales; Brassicaceae
Gene name: serine/threonine-protein kinase CTR1-like
Exons: 16
Source: RefSeq, marked provisional
CACAGUUUCCUCUGAUAACGCAAAAAAAAAAAAAAAAAAAGUUCCAAAUUCAUUAAGAGAGAGAAUUUUAAAAAGGUGCAAAUUGGAAAACCAGAGAGAGAGAGAGAAAACAAGUGGCUUGCUAGCUCGCCGAACUUUGUUCAACAAUGGCGGUUUCUUAGGGUUUGAGCUUCUAUUUGAUCGGAGAAAAAAAAGUCUCUCGUCUAGAUCGCGAAUCUUCCGAUGGAAAUGCCCGGCGCUAGAAGAUCCAAUUACACUCUGCUUAGUCAAUUCCCCGACGACCAGGUCUCCGUCUCCGUCACCGGAGCUCCUCCGCCUCACUAUGACUCCUCCUUGUCGAGCGCCAGCAACAACAACAGCGGCAACAACGGAAAAUCCAAAUCCGGAUUCGAUUGGGAUCAUCAUCCUAGCGGCGGCGGUGGUGAUCACAGGCCGCCGAAUCGGGCUGGGAAUAUGUACUCUUCGUCGCUUGGUUUGCAGAGGCAAUCGAGCGGGAGCAGCUUCGGCGAGAGCUCGCUGUCCGGGGAUUACUAUGUGCCUACGCUCUCCGCGGCGGGUAACGAGAUCGAAAUGGUUGGGUUUCCUCAAGACGUCGGGUUAGGUGAUUCGAGGAUGCAGAUGGGGAUGGAUUCGGCUGGAGGUUCGUCGUCUGGGAAGAGCUGGGCGCAGCAGACGGAGGAGAGUUAUCAGCUGCAGCUUGCGUUGGCGUUGAGGCUUUCCUCGGAGGCUACUUGCGCUGAUGAUCCGAACUUUCUAGAUCCUGUACCGGACGAGUCUGCUUUGCGGACUUCGCCGAGUUCUGCUGAAACCGUUUCUCAUCGCUUCUGGGUAAAUGGAUGCUUAUCGUACUAUGAUAAAGUUCCUGACGGGUUUUAUAUGAUUGAUGGUCUGGAUCCAUAUAUUUGGACCUUAUGCAUUGAUCUAAAUGAAAGUGGCCGCAUCCCUUCAAUUGAAUCGUUGAGAGCUAUUGAUUCUGGUGUUGACUCUUCGCUGGAAGCCAUCUUAGUCGAUCGGCGUGUUGAUCCAGCCUUCAAGGAACUUCACAAUAGAGUCCACGACAUCUCUUGUAGCUGCAUAACCACAAAAGAGGUUGUGGACCAGCUGGCAAAACUAAUCUGCAAUCGUAUGGGAGGUUCAGUUAUCAUGGGGGAAGAUGAGUUGGUUCCCAUGUGGAAGGAGUGCAUUAACGGUCUAAAAGAGUGCUUUAAAGUUGUGGUUCCCAUAGGUAGCCUCUCUGUAGGACUCUGCAGACACCGAGCUUUACUCUUCAAAGUACUGGCUGACAUAAUAGAUUUACCCUGUCGAAUCGCAAAGGGGUGCAAAUAUUGUAAUAGAGACGAUGCUGCGUCGUGCCUUGUCAGGUUUGGGCUUGAUAGGGAGUAUCUUGUUGAUUUAGUUGGAAAACCAGGCCACUUGUGGGAGCCUGAUUCCUUGCUAAAUGGUCCCUCGACUAUCUCAAUUUCAUCACCUUUGCGGUUUCCCCGACCCAGGCCAGUUGAACCUGCGGUCGAUUUUAGGGAACUAGCCAAGCAGUACUUCACCGACAGUGAAUCUCUUAAUCUUGUUUUCGAUCCUGCAUCAGAUGAUAUAGGAUUCUCAAUGUUUCAUAGGGGUGGAGAAAAUGAUGGUUCGGCAGAAAAUGGGGGUGGAUCUGUGCCUCCCGGUGCUAAUAUGCCUCCACAGAACAUAAUGCGUGCCUCAAAUCAAGUCCAAGAUGCAGUACCUAUAAAUGCCCCACCAAUCAAUCAGCCGGUUGUGAACAGAGCAAACAGGGAUCUUGGACUCGAUGGUGAUGAUAUGGACAUCCCAUGGUGUGAUCUUAAUAUAAAAGAGAAGAUUGGAGCAGGUUCCUUUGGCACUGUUCAUCGUGCUGAGUGGCAUGGCUCGGAUGUUGCUGUGAAAAUUCUCAUGGAGCAAGACUUCCAUGCUGAGCGUGUCAAUGAGUUCUUGAGAGAGGUUGCAAUAAUGAAACGCCUUCGCCACCCGAAUAUUGUUCUCUUCAUGGGAGCUGUCACUCAACCUCCAAAUUUGUCAAUAGUGACAGAAUAUUUGUCAAGAGGUAGUUUAUUCAGACUUUUGCAUAAAAGUGGAGCAAGAGAGCAACUGGAUGAGAGACGCCGCUUGAGUAUGGCAUAUGAUGUGGCUAAAGGAAUGAAUUAUCUCCAUAAUCGCAAUCCUCCGAUUGUACAUAGAGAUCUAAAAUCUCCAAACUUGCUGGUCGACAAAAAAUACACCGUCAAGGUUUGUGAUUUUGGUCUCUCGCGGUUAAAGGCCAGCACGUUCCUUUCAUCAAAGUCGGCAGCUGGAACUCCCGAGUGGAUGGCACCAGAGGUCCUGCGGGAUGAGCAAUCUAAUGAGAAGUCAGACGUGUACAGCUUUGGGGUCAUCUUGUGGGAGCUUGCUACAUUGCAGCAACCAUGGGGUAAUUUGAAUCCUGCUCAGGUUGUAGCUGCGGUUGGUUUCAAGAAUAAACGGCUUGAGAUCCCUCGGAACCUGAACCCUCAAGUUGCAGCAAUAAUCGAGGGUUGUUGGACAAAUGAGCCGUGGAAGCGUCCAUCAUUUGCAACAAUUAUGGACUUGCUAAGACCAUUGAUCAAAUCAGCGGUUCCUCCACCCAACCGCUUGGAUCUGUGAAACACCGGCCCACUUGGAAACACGAUAUUAAUAAUUGAUGAUGUGCACAUAUACUCUCAGCAUUAUUUUGCUGCCCAGGAGGGAGACACUAGUUAAGAUAGCUGUAAGAUUGUUAAAAGUGUACAUGAUUAUUGUCACAGGGAAGGAAAAAAAGUAAAUCAAGUAGUAAGUGGAAACAGUAAGGGAUAUUCUAUUAUCUACCUCCGAGGGGUGUGAGCAAUAUAUUGUUGUAAGCCUUUUGUAGUAGUGACACUUUAAGCUAUCUUUUUUUGUCUAAUCCUUCAUGUGAUAUGUUUCUUUUAAGUUACCUUGUUGUACAUUUAAGCUACUAAAUUAGUAGCUCCUAGUAACUAAGAGAGUCCAAACCAAGAAAAAAGAGUCGUGUGUCAGUGUGGUUUUGCAAAUUCAGUAUGAUUCAUUGGAUUGUACAUUGUAUUUGUCAAGUGUGUAAUUCACACGAGAUUAUCAUGAGGAUUUGUGAUUGUAACUCGUAAUGCUAAAAGGUUGCUCAUGGUUUAA